RNAcentral lists this ribosomal RNA (347 nucleotides) under Salmonella enterica subsp. enterica serovar Infantis. Its description in RNAcentral is "partial 23S ribosomal RNA". It matches the Rfam family "Bacterial large subunit ribosomal RNA", at positions 161 to 546 of the family's 2925-position model. Lineage: Bacteria; Pseudomonadati; Pseudomonadota; Gammaproteobacteria; Enterobacterales; Enterobacteriaceae. The record is from RNAcentral.
AAUCCAUAGGUUAAUGAGGCGAACCGGGGGAACUGAAACAUCUAAGUACCCCGAGGAAAAGAAAUCAACCGAGAUUCCCCCAGUAGCGGCGAGCGAACGGGGAGGAGCCCAGAGCCUGAAUCAGCAUGUGUGUUAGUGGAAGCGUCUGGAAAGGCGCGCGAUACAGGGUGACAGCCCCGUACACAAAAGCGCAUGUGCUGUGAGCUCGAUGAGUAGGGCGGGACACGUGGUAUCCUGUCUGAAUAUGGGGGGACCAUCCUCCAAGGCUAAAUACUCCUGACUGACCGAUAGUGAACCAGUACCGUGAGGGAAAGGCGAAAAGAACCCCGGCGAGGGGAGUGAAAAAG